RNAcentral lists this unclassified non-coding RNA (585 nucleotides) under Hevea brasiliensis (rubber tree). The record is from RNAcentral. Lineage: Eukaryota; Viridiplantae; Streptophyta; Magnoliopsida; Malpighiales; Euphorbiaceae.
GAGAAGAGAAAACGAGAGAAGUCUACGAACAAGCAUGAAAAUUCCUUCUACAAUUCUCCUUCUCGCGCUUCUAAUCGCCUCUUCUGUAAUUCACGUAAGAUCGGACGCCUCCGAUCACCGCUUCAAGGACGGCGAUUCUGUUCCCCUGUACGCCAAUAAGGUCGGCCCCUUUCACAACCCCAGUGAAACGUAUCGCUAUUUCGAUCUGCCCUUCUGUGUUCCAGAACACCUGAAAGAGAAAACAGAAGCUCUUGGUGAGGUGUUGAAUGGGGAUCGUUUAGUCAGUGCUCCCUACAAACUCAACUUUAGAGAUGAGAAGGACACAGCGGUUGUUUGUCAGAAGAAGCUUACAAAGGAAGAAGUUGCUCAGUUCCGAUCUGCAGUUGAGAAAGACUAUUACUUCCAGAUGUACUAUGAUGAUUUGCCAAUUUGGGGAUUCAUAGGAAAGGUUGACAAGGAAGGCAAAGCUGACCCAAGUGAAUACAAAUACUUCCUUUACAAGCAUAUCCAAUUUGAUGUUCUUUAUAAUAAGGACCGUGUGAUUGAAGUAAGUACCCGGAUGGAUCCUCAUUCACUGUUGGAUCU